GAAUAUACAUAACGGUUACUUUACGAGUUGACUUUCAGUCGGAGGACGAACAUUUACUUCGGCCCACCAACUAGCGGUUUUGGCUAAUGCUUUUUAGCUUCAAGGCAAGAUAACAGGCUGCUCUUGGUAAGUUUGUUUCAGAUGUUGUGUGUGUAUUUGUCAUAAUGUACAGUAAUAAGUUAUGGGCAGACAAAGCGUAGGUAAGACGUUAACGUGACAAGGGUGAGGUGAAGGAUACUAUGGGCUAGCCAGACUAGAAUAUAAGUUAACUAGCAUCACGAAAUUAUGCUGUAUUUACCCUUAAACAAAUUAAACACUGGGCCAAAAGGUGUUUAGGCCUAUACAGUAGUUUCUUCCUGUGCUGCGUUGUGCACGUCUGUUUCAUCAUCUGAGCUAUCAGUUGUGUUUCUUUGAAGCAAAGAUGUAUAGAAUAGCACUGAAAGUCGGAGGUGUCAUAUUUGUUCAACCUGGUGUUAAACGUAAUUUCAAUUCUUGACCAGUGCAUGUAAAGAAAUUGUAAAUAAAACCGACUUGAUGUAGUAGUGCUAAAAAUAAACCUUUAUAUUUUCUCUUAGUGAACUUCUCAAAAUAUAUGGGCUAUAAUGUAGAUACUACGGUACUUGGGAUGGGUUUAUCGUUACCUAUUGUUUCUGAUGGGGCGUUAAUUGGUGUGGCACCCGGAACUCUUCCUCACUUCGGGAAGAUUGGCAAGGGGUAAGCUGUGUUUUUUUCUUCCGUGUUACAAACUAUUUAAUGAUGUUUCUGUACUUUAAUUUCUCUGUUAUUUUAUUGAUCUUUGAUGGGAAGAUAUUCUGUUACGUUUGUGUUGAUAUUUUCGUUGUAAUUUUCGCUCAAAGUAUGUACAUUAGCGCCAUUAAUGUCCGCGAUCGUUAUGAAGUUAACAGGUGCUAACGAGCCUAUUGUGUCGCAGGAAUGCCGUUCGCUUCGACCCCUUGCAGUGUGCCUCAUUGUGUCCGCUCUGUCUGUUGUUUCAGAUAUAAGAAGUUGGGGUUGGGGUUGAUGAUCCACAUGAUGGUGAUGGACCAGGACAGCUCUGGACCUCCUGACUGGCAGCUCCCUCCUCAACCUCCCUUCCUGUCCUUCACACAUGUGCAGGCAGAGAGGCAGUUUUCUGAAGGAUGGUUAAUGUCCGUACCAACAUGUUGUGAUGGAGGCUUCCACCUGAGCUGAACACAGAAACUUGCACACAGUGAUGGAAGCAGUCGUUCCUGUUCAGCAUUGAUAUGCCGGUAAUGAGUUUGAUGAGCCACAGCAUGGUGAUGGGCAAUCAGCAUCAGGACCAGGGCCGCUCACAAGGAGAACCUCCUGCCCUGCCUCUUCAUCCUCAACCUCCAAUCUUCCUGCUCUUCACACAUGUGCAGGCACAGAGCCAGUUUUCAGAGGGAGGGCUGAUGACGCCAGCAACUUCGUAUCUGAACCUGAUCAACCCAGCACCAACCACUGUGCCGCUCCUCCUCUGCCAACUGCACCACAUGGCUCCACCAUCUCAAAAAGGCACAGACACUACUCCACUUCCUGCGAAGGAUGAGAGAAGAGCCGACCUUCCCACAACGGCACUCACCACCUUCUACAGGGGUGUCAUUGAGAGCAUCCUGACCAGCAGCCUCUCUGUCUGGCAUGGCAGCCGUCAAGCUGAAGACUAGAAGGCAGUACAGAGAGUGGUGAGGACAGCAGAAAAGCUCAUAAGGUCACCCCUACCUGUUCUCCCUACUACCAUCAGGGAAGCACUAGCCCAGCAUGCAGUGCUGCAAAAGCACACUGGGAAACGGCUUCUUUCCACAAGCCAUCAGACUCCUCAACGCACUGAAGAAAACCACAUGAAUAACCAAGGACACGGGAGAAUAUUCCAUGAACACUUCUUUCACCAUGCCACUUACACUUUACUCAUUGCACCUUGUAUACAGCAUCUUCACAUCACCUGUAUGAACUCCUCCUGCCGUGUGUGUGUGUCCACUGUGUUUGUGUAUUUAUUGUCCAUCAGUAUGUUAAUCUUAUUAUUGCACACUGUUUGGGUGUCUGUGUGAGUGUAUUUAUAGUAUGUAUCAGUCUGUAUUUAAUGCCAAUGCCUUAUUUUUAGUUAUUAGUUAAAUGCACAUUGGAGACUGGUCAAACACAAUUUCAAACUUUGUGUUAACCCUCCAUAGAUUUUUGUCAAAAAAUGGAGUCUAAUCUACUGUACUACACAGGCUAUCAACAGACCACACAGUUGA
Long non-coding RNA from Engraulis encrasicolus (European anchovy), 2231 nucleotides. RefSeq lists it as uncharacterized. NCBI's taxonomy places the organism in Eukaryota, Metazoa, Chordata, Actinopteri, Clupeiformes, Engraulidae. The transcript is spliced from 5 exons. The record is from RefSeq and is a predicted model, not a curated record.